ACCCAACUGACGAGUCUCAAAUAGGACGAAAAGCGCGUCCUGGAU
Molecule: non-coding RNA, 45 nt
Filed under: Schistosoma mattheei
Lineage: Eukaryota; Metazoa; Platyhelminthes; Trematoda; Strigeidida; Schistosomatidae
Source: RNAcentral